UGUUUUUUAUCUUUGAAGUUUUUUUCAAGCCCAAUCACUUGGCCCCAAAAAACCCCUAAAAGCAGCCACUUUAAUCUACUUGUCCUUAUAUCACUACUCACUUGACAAAAAACCCUACUAGGUAAAAAGUAUUUUAUCUUUGUUGUCUGGUAAUUUUUCUCAGUAUACCGAAACAAGAAAAUCAAAGCAUUUCUACCAUGUCCGGCUCCAGAAAGCAAGAUCCAUCAUCAAUCAUCGCAGAAGAAAUGGCUAAAGUGUUCGGAACCAAGUCGUCCAGGAAAUGGCCGCCAACCAAAUCAACACGCGACGCCACCAUCAAACGAAUCGUCAAAUAUCUCUCCGAAACCUUCCAGAUCCCUGCCACCGAAGCUGACGUCACUGUUCGCCGUAUCGAAGAAGAAGCUUUCACUGCCGCCGGCAGCUCUUCUGCUCCUGCCGCCCGUAUCUAUGAUGUUUACACCCAGGAAAUCCAUAACAGAAUGACGGAGUAUUCUAGAAAUUAGACCUGCUUGAAAGGAUAGAGAUUCUUAGAAGUGAAUAUGCUAAACUGGAACUCCAGGUUUGGGUUAUCUAGCGAUUUAAUAGUCUAUUCUGAUGGUUUGAUGCCUAAGAUCUGAUACAUGUAGGCAUGGUUUUUAGGCUCUGGAGUAACUCGACCAAUCUUUAAGUAUUGGAUUUGUGAUUGUGAUUGAUGGGGAGUUCGACAAGUGAUUGAUUAGUGCACUAAGCAGUGAUGAAAGCAAAGGUUGAUGAAAGUAGGAAAGUAGACAAGCCAAUAGAAUGGUUGUAUGUCAAAGUCAGAAUUCAGAAGCUACUGGUGCAUUGCCGUCACAUUAUUUUUGUUUAUCUGAUCAAGGUGACAUAAAUGGUGUGUAUGUCUAGGAAUUAGUUGGAACUUGUCUAAAGUAAAUAUAAAAAAAAUGAAGUGAAAAACAAUGUAACUAGAUCUGGACCAGUUUAAAUAAAUUUGCUUUUGGUUUUGAA
Molecule: long non-coding RNA, 984 nt
Organism: Erigeron canadensis
Lineage: Eukaryota; Viridiplantae; Streptophyta; Magnoliopsida; Asterales; Asteraceae
Exons: 2
Source: RefSeq, a predicted model, not a curated record